AAUGGGUCAGCGACUUAUAUUCUGUAGCAAGGUUAACCGUAUAGGGGAGCCGUAGGGAAACCGAGUCUUAACCGGGCGUUAAGUUGCAGGGUAUAGACCCGAAACCCGGUGAUCUAGCCAUGGGCAGGUUGAAGGUUGGGUAACACUAACUGGAGGACCGAACCGACUAAUGUUGAAAAAUUAGCGGAUGACCUGUGGCUGGGGGUGAAAGGCCAAUCAAACCGGGAGAUAGCUGGUUCUCCCCGAAAGCUAUUUAGGUAGCGCCUCGUGAAUUCAUCUCCGGGGGUAGAGCACUGUUUCGGCUAGGGGGCCAUCCCGGCUUACCAACCCGAUGCAAACUGCGAAUACCGGAGAAUGUUAUCACGGGAGACACACGGCGGGUGCUAACGUCCGUCGUGAAGAGGGAAACAACCCAGACCGCCAGCUAAGGUCCCAAAGUCAUGGUUAAGUGGGAAACGAUGUGGGAAGGCCCAGACAGCCAGGAUGUUGGCUUAGAAGCAGCCAUCAUUUAAAGAAAGCGUAAUAGCUCACUGGUCGAGUCGGCCUGCGCGGAAGAUGUAACGGGGCUAAACCAUGCACCGAAGCUGCGGCAGCGACGCUGAUGCGUUGUUGGGUAGGGGAGCGUUCUGUAAGCCUGUGAAGGUGGCCUGUGAGGGUUGCUGGAGGUAUCAGAAGUGCGAAUGCUGACAUAAGUAACGAUAAAGCGGGUGAAAAGCCCGCUCGCCGGAAGACCAAGGGUUCCUGUCCAACGUUAAUCGGGGCAGGGUGAGUCGACCCCUAAGGCGAGGCCGAAAGGCGUAGUCGAUGGGAAACGGGUUAAUAUUCCCGUACUUGGUGUUACUGCGAAGGGGGGACGGAGAAGGCUAUGUUGGCCGGGCGACGGUUGUCCCGGUUUAAGCGUGUAGGUGUGUGUUCCAGGUAAAUCCGGUUCACUUUAACACUGAGGCGUGAUGACGAGGCACUACGGUGCUGAAGCAACAA
This 981-nucleotide ribosomal RNA is filed under the name Salmonella enterica. RNAcentral's name for it is "partial 23S ribosomal RNA". It matches the Rfam family "Bacterial large subunit ribosomal RNA", at positions 614 to 1596 of the family's 2925-position model. RNAcentral also lists the same sequence under 1 other name. The record is from RNAcentral. Lineage: Bacteria; Pseudomonadati; Pseudomonadota; Gammaproteobacteria; Enterobacterales; Enterobacteriaceae.